CCUACGGGUGACAGCAGUGGGGAAUAUUGCACAAUGGGGGAAACCCUGAUGCAGCGACGCCGCGUGAGUGAAGAAGUAAUUCGUUAUGUAAAGCUCUAUCAGCAGGGAGGAAAGUGACGGUGCCUGAAUAAGAAGCCCCGGCUAACUACGUGCCAGCAGCCGCGGUAAUACGUAGGGGGCAAGCGUUAGCCAGAUUUACUGGGUGUAAAGUGAGCGUAGACGGCAGUGCAAGUCUGGUGUGAAAGGCGGGGGCUCAACCCCCGGACUGCUCUGGAAACUGGACGGCUGGAGUGCAGGAGAGGUAAGUGGAAUUCCGAGUGUAGCGGUGAAAUGCGUAGAUAUUAGGAGGAAUACCAGUGGCGAAGGCGGCUUACUGGACUGUAACUGACGUUGAGGCUCGAAAGCGUGGGGAGCAAACAGGAUUAGAUACCCGAGUAGUC
This 440-nucleotide ribosomal RNA is filed under the name uncultured bacterium. RNAcentral's name for it is "partial 16S ribosomal RNA". It matches the Rfam family "Bacterial small subunit ribosomal RNA", at positions 338 to 795 of the family's 1533-position model. The record is from RNAcentral.